CAGAACCUUUCCCUAUUCCCCAUCCCCUAUCAUUUAUUGUCGACUUUAUUGCAUGCCAUAAUUCCUUGGGGUACACCAAAGCACAUACAUUUGGCCCUCUUUCGGAGGAAUGAUCGAAUUUGAAAUACAACAGCUCGCAAGAGGUCAAACAGACCAUUAUAAUGUUACUUGUGUGUAAAUAAUUUCUCCUGUACUUAUUAUUAAGUGCUUCACAAAGAGUACUUCUUGUGAUCACACCAUUAUGUGCAUGAGAAAGCUUCUUUGGGGAUUUGAACUAAGAAUAGUUCAGAAAUGGAAGUGUCCGUAUCUAACAGAAGUGCUUUCCUGGAAUGCCAGGAAAAGGCAUAGGAACCUGGCGGCAUACCAUAUAUGUAUACGAAACGUCAGUGGAAGUGGAAGUAAUGGAGGCGUUUUACAGCACUU
This 423-nucleotide small RNA is filed under the name Cryptococcus neoformans H99. RNAcentral's name for it is "Cryptococcus neoformans var. grubii H99 hypothetical RNA". The record is from RNAcentral. Lineage: Eukaryota; Fungi; Basidiomycota; Tremellomycetes; Tremellales; Cryptococcaceae.